Molecule: ribosomal RNA, 477 nt
Filed under: uncultured organism
Description: partial 16S ribosomal RNA
Rfam family: Bacterial small subunit ribosomal RNA
Source: RNAcentral
UACACUCCUGCGGGAGGCAGCAGUGGGGAAUUUUGGACAAUGGGCGAAAGCCUGAUCCAGCAAUGCCGCGUGAGUGAAGAAGGCCUUCGGGUUGUAAAGCUCUUUUGUCAGGGAAGAAACGGUGAAAGCUAAUAUCUUUUGCUAAUGACGGUACCUGAAGAAUAAGCACCGGCUAACUACGUGCCAGCAGCCGCGGUAAUACGUAGGGUGCAAGCGUUAAUCGGAAUUACGGGGCGUAAAGCGUGCGCAGGCGGUUUUGUAAGUCUGAUGUGAAAUCCCCGGGCUCAACCUGGGAAUGGCAUUGGAGACUGGAAGGCUAGAAUCUGGCAGAGGGGGGUAGAAUUCCACGUGUAGCAGUGAAAUGCGUAGAUAUGUGGAGGAACACCGAUGGCGAAGGCAGCCCCCUGGGUCAAGAUUGACGCUCAUGCACGAAAGCGUGGGGAGCAAACAGGAUUAGAAACCCGGGUAGUCCCAUGA